GACCAAAUGAACAAAAAAACAUAAGCUCAUCCGCUUGCCCAAGCAGUCUGUUUUGUAUAUCUAGAGGCGAAUUGGCAAAGUAGGCUAUAACCUACGAUACCUAAUUUCUGUCUACUGAACCUAAUUUAAGUCCUUUAAGGAGAGGUGGGGGUUGGGGAGCAUUUUUAGGCAGAUUGCAGUAUCGUUUUACCUCGCCCAGGCCUAUUCAAAAUGUAAUUUCCCCCAGUCAGGAAUCUAGCUAAGGGUCUUUUUCACGUUUUCUCUCACCCGCUGACACCAUGCGUACUGUUGCUAAGUAACCGACCUGCGCGGUCCUCUGCCGCCAAAGACCUCUGCUGAGCUCUCGCAGGUUCUGUGUUAGAAUGCAAGCUUGGAACUCAUCGUGAAACAACAGACCACGGUCAACAAAACCUGGUGUAAGAUGUCCGCAAUGCACUGGGAAGCGCGUCGCCGACAGAGCAUGCUGGAUCGCCGCUUGUCGCGGUCCAAGCAGGUUCUAAACAACCCCCCUCAGACUGGCCCAGAAGCUCCCGCAGAGGCUCUGAAAGGCACACCUGUGCAACCAGAAAACGUAUGUGUCAACUGCAAACGUACACCUGUGGAUGCAACUGAAAACGGCGCUAAACUUCAAAACCGAUACAGCGUGAUCUGUGCAGUACUCUCAGCAGUGGUGAGAACAUCUGGGAGGUCAACCUCAGGUCAACCUUUAAACCACGAUUCAGUACCAUCCUUGUCCAGGCAUCCUUGUGUUCUGGGCCAAAAAGCAUUAUUCUGUACAAUUGUUGUAGCAAACUAAUCUCUUCAAAUCUUAAAGUUGGUACUUCAAUGAGAGGCAGACGACCAAAUGCGAUGAACUGAAGUUUAUUCAAUCUUGCAGACUUCCAUCCAAUUUGAGCGGUGGUCCAUGGAGCAUCGCUGUCAAAAAUCAGUGCACUUUUAUACUACAAUUUCCAUCACUAUGCUUUUUCAAACUAAACACUUAUCAACGUUGAGCCAAUCAGAAUAUUCUGCUCACUUAUUGCCGAAAAACAUUUCAAGAAAAUGGUGACUUGUGAGAGCAGGUAUGUGUCCUUGUCUAUGUUUCUAUUUUGUCCUUGACUUGUCUGCAUCUCUUAUCCAGAGACUCCUUCAUAAAUGCUUGGCUGUCCUCCUUUUCAAAAACAGGCCUUUCUGCUUGACCUUACAAGACACUCAUCUCUGCACACGGGCCUUUCUGCCUACACAACACUUGUCUUUUGGCAAAACUGCUCCAUGUUCACCACACCACUGUAAUACAACCAUUGUAUUUUUAUCUACACUAUCAAAUAUGUUCAGCAAUUAUUAAAGCAUCCAUUAACUAAAUCCAUGACUUUGGGGUGCCGUCUAUGGAAUUUCCCUCAGAUUAAUUUAAUGAUGUGAAGGACUUGAAUGCAAUUAUGUAACCGUAUGGCAUAUUAUAUGCACUGGCUCUCGCGGUCACAGAUUACAUCCUCAUUAGUUUCAUCAGUCAUGCAGUCCAGCACAGCAGCAGUAUAUAAUGUGAUUAUAUAUUAUACACGUGAGUGGACGUCAGUGGAUGUUACAUUUAUAUUUUACAUUUAGUCUUUUAGCAGACGCUUUUAUCCAAAGCGACGUAAAAGGGAGAGAACAAUCCAGCUACG
Long non-coding RNA from Clupea harengus (Atlantic herring), 1640 nucleotides. The record is from Ensembl. NCBI's taxonomy places the organism in Eukaryota, Metazoa, Chordata, Actinopteri, Clupeiformes, Clupeidae.